GAGACAGCAGCAGCCACGGGAAUACGAGGGGUCCUAGCGUUGCUCGGAAUCAUUGGGCGUAAAGCGGAUGUAGGCGGACAGCCAAGUCAGAUGUGAAAGCCCCGGGCUCAACCCGGGAAGUGCAUUUGAAACUGGCUACCUUGAGCGCAGUAGAGGAAGGUGGAAUUCCAAGUGUAGUGGUGAAAUACGUAGAUAUUUGGAGGAACAUCGGUGGCGAAGGCGACCUUCUGGACUGUUACUGACGCUGAGAUCCGAAAGCGUGGGGAUCAAACAGGAUUAGAUACCCGGGUAGUCCCUGUCUCUUAUAC
This 308-nucleotide ribosomal RNA is filed under the name uncultured bacterium. RNAcentral's name for it is "partial 16S ribosomal RNA". It matches the Rfam family "Bacterial small subunit ribosomal RNA", at positions 505 to 807 of the family's 1533-position model. The record is from RNAcentral.